GACGUUCCGCCCCUUAUAGAAUCGAUUAUUGAUGGGAAGAUAUUAUUUAACUAUCCAAAAUAUUAUUUAAUUAUUUUCAGAAUUAUUUUCUUUCAAUGUUUAUUCAAAUAGAACUUAAACCCAUCUCAGAAUUUUUAAAUGCUUGAUGACGUCACAUUUAAAACGUGGCAACAUUGGUUUCCCCACUUUGACAGCCAAUGCUUAGUAGAGGGGUACGAAGGAUUCAGCUGUGAACGUGAGCCUUGGAUUGCCAUUGUUUCUCGAGUGUUCGGUCUGAAUCGUAGUGUGCGGGGUCAUUAGACUCAAUUAUUCACCUCUAAUUCUCAGUUCCAAAUUGAUUAAAUAUUACAAUAAAAGUAUAGUGAAGUUAUCCAGCAGCAGUGGAUUUGAAGAAUUUUAGAGCAUACUAUAUCCAAUGAGUUCUACCCCGCACCUACCAUGAAAUCUUAAAGCCACCCUACAACAACACCAAGGCCAGACCACACAGAGAGAAACAAUCAAUAGGCGACCAGCCUGGAUUAUUUCCACAUUUUCUUUUUUUGAGUACCUCCAGCUGCUUUCCAACAGUUUUGAGUACCUUCAGCUGCUUUCUACCAGUCUUCCUCUCCUGUACCUCCAGCAGGACAGCUGCUAGCGAGAGUUAGCACCCUUGGGUGCUCAUUACAUCAACUUCAAGAUUAGGAAAGAGUGGUUUGUUUGGGAACAUUUACUGUGCUCUUAUUAAAGACAGACUGGUUUUGUGAUAUUUAGUACAUUUUUUUUUAUAGUUCAAUUGCACACACAUUUUUCCUGCUUUAUAUUUUUUAUAGGUUUUUUUUUCUUUACAACAUAAUAUUUAAUUGAUAGCGUUCCCCAACACUCUGCAAUCUAUAAAGGUAUAAAUUUCUGAGCUCAGAUAUUUUCCCUGAUAAUAGUAGUCGGUACUCUUAUCUUGAUUAUUUUUAGGCUGUGUUCCACUUUUGUAUAAUUAUUUAAACUCAUUCCAUUAUUUUAGUAUAUGUUUAAUUAAAUUUUUAAAAAUUAACUUCACAUAUUAGUCAAAAUUGUAAUUAUUAACUUUAUUUAACUUGAACUUAUUAACUUUACUUAACUUUAACUUAUUAACUUUAUUUAACUUUAACUUUAAUUUAUUAAAUUCAUAUGAACUUCUGGAUUCUAAUCCCUCAGAUUAGUUUUUGGUUUCACUUGUUAUUAUUACUAUUAUAAACCACGAGUUAGGAAAAGGAUCUGUGUAUCCACUCGUAGGUUUAUUUAUUCAAUAAGGCUUGUGCCUGUCCCACUCACAGUGAGGUAUUUAUAUGUUAUAUAUAGUAUCAGGUAGUAUUUAAUUAAGGUGUACGUAUUAUAAACGUACAAUUAUUAUUUGGUGAGGGUUCUACUAACCUAGUUGUAAGUUGUACUUCCUGUAUUAGAGGUACCCGUAGUCAGUUUUUCUAACCUUAUAAAGAGUAUUCUUAGAUCAUAGUUGUAUGAUGAUUUUGUAAUUGACUUUCACUAGUAUCACUUUUUCCUGUCAUGUUAGAGUUACACACUAGUUACUUGUCCUAACUCAGAGAUUGUUAAAAAGAUCUAGUAGUUACAUUCAAUAAAUAUACAUUUAUUGUGA
This 1606-nucleotide unclassified non-coding RNA is filed under the name Diabrotica virgifera virgifera (western corn rootworm). RNAcentral describes it as "uncharacterized LOC126881867". Lineage: Eukaryota; Metazoa; Arthropoda; Insecta; Coleoptera; Chrysomelidae. The record is from RNAcentral.